Non-coding RNA from Miniopterus natalensis, 224 nucleotides. The record is from RefSeq and is a predicted model, not a curated record. Lineage: Eukaryota; Metazoa; Chordata; Mammalia; Chiroptera; Miniopteridae.
AGAAAAGAAAAAAGAAAAUGAAAUAGAUGAACAGAAUUGACUAGUACUGCGCUUGAUUUGGGCCUUAAGCAGCUUCUUCCAGGCAAGAGGACCAGUGCAGCUUUCUUGCAACCAAAGAUCUUGAUCCACAUCCAGAGAUUGGAAUAUUGGUGGGCCAGCCAUCCUCAGACACCUCACUUAGGACAGCCCCUGGAAACGAGCAUUCUGCUUUCUGUCUAUGAAUU